UACGUAGGGGGCAAGCGUUGUCCGGAAUCAUUGGGCGUAAAGCGCGUGUAGGCGGCUAGAUAAGUCUGCUCUGAAAGCCCGGGGCUCAACCCCGGGAGGCGGGUGGAUACUGUCUAGCUCGAGUCCGGAAGAGGGGUGUGGAAUUCCUGGUGUAGCGGUGAAAUGCGCAGAUAUCAGGAGGAACACCGGUGGCGAAGGCGGGUCUCUGGGCAGUAACUGACGCUGAGGAGCGAAAGCGUGGGGAGCGAACAGG
RNAcentral lists this ribosomal RNA (253 nucleotides) under uncultured bacterium. RNAcentral's name for it is "partial 16S ribosomal RNA". It matches the Rfam family "Bacterial small subunit ribosomal RNA", at positions 524 to 776 of the family's 1533-position model. The record is from RNAcentral.